GAUGAACGCUGGCGGCGUGCCUAAUACAUGCAAGUCGAGCGAACGGACGAGAAGCUUGCUUCUCUGAUGUUAGCGGCGGACGGGUGAGUAACACGUGGAUAACCUACCUAUAAGACUGGGAUAACUUCGGGAAACCGGAGCUAAUACCGGAUAAUAUUUUGAACCGCAUGGUUCAAAAGUGAAAGACGGUCUUGCUGUCACUUAUAGAUGGAUCCGCGCUGCAUUAGCUAGUUGGUAAGGUAACGGCUUACCAAGGCAACGAUGCAUAGCCGACCUGAGAGGGUGAUCGGCCACACUGGAACUGAGACACGGUCCAGACUCCUACGGGAGGCAGCAGUAGGGAAUGUUCCGCAAUGGGCGAAAGCAUGACGGAGCAACGCCGCGUGAGUGAUGAAGGUCUUCGGAUCGUAAAACUCUGUUAUUAGGGAAGAACAUAUGUGUAAGUAACUGUGCACAUCUUGACGGUACCUAAUCAGAAAGCCACGGCUAACUACGUG
This 497-nucleotide ribosomal RNA is filed under the name uncultured bacterium. RNAcentral's name for it is "partial 16S ribosomal RNA". It matches the Rfam family "Bacterial small subunit ribosomal RNA", at positions 28 to 507 of the family's 1533-position model. The record is from RNAcentral.